UGGGUGGCUGUGAACCUCUGGGCCGCCAACCCUCUAGCAAAGGAACUCUAUCAAGGGAAAAAGCUUUCCCCAGGUAUUAUUGAACCUGGUCUCAAGAUUUCUCGUCCAAGUGAGAUAAUUGUUUUAGAGUUGCUGGUGUCCGUAAAACCUGACGCGUAUUUCGCCUUGGCCAGGCCCUUUCGAUGAUCCAUAUACCAUUUUUUCCACUGCUUUUAUUGGGCCUAUGACCUUUCCCCCUCCGUGUUGAACCUAUGUGGGCUGAAAAUGAUUCAAUGUUGAAAAAAAAUAAUAAAAGGGGCCUUCAUGGAGGAAGAUGGAUGACGAUGUAAUCAUCUCUACUGUUUUGUGUUGCGUGAUAAAAUGGCUACGUUAAUUCGUUGUGAUGUUUUUUCCAGCCAUUCAAUAGUCAAUACGUAUGCUUAAUUUUCUCUUUAA
Neltuma alba is the source of this 435-nucleotide long non-coding RNA. RefSeq lists it as uncharacterized. The record is from RefSeq and is a predicted model, not a curated record. The transcript is spliced from 2 exons. NCBI's taxonomy places the organism in Eukaryota, Viridiplantae, Streptophyta, Magnoliopsida, Fabales, Fabaceae.